AGGACUAUAUUAUUAUACUUCUCUUCUUAAUGCAACCACCAGUCUGUGACAAGUCAGAGAACUCGUUUGAAGUACGUGAAUGCAGAGUCAAGA
RNAcentral lists this non-coding RNA (93 nucleotides) under unclassified sequences. The record is from RNAcentral.